AAAGGGACUUAGCUUAGAGUAAAUUGAUCACAUACAAACACGGAAAUAUAAAUUAAACUACUCAUUGUUUCUUAAAUAUCCGAAAAGAUAUUAGAGAGGCUUGUAGGCCGUGGUCCAUAAAAUUUAGAUGUAAUUUCGUCGGAUCUUUAAGUAAGGGGUGGUCCUUCGAUUCGGAUUCACCUAACAGGAGGCCUGUGCAGUAGGCCUUAAGGAAGUUAUAUUGCCAAUCUUGAGAAUUCAAGGAAAAACGUACGAAAUUCGAGUAUUUCAAAUAUACACUGAAUUGAU
Long non-coding RNA from Dendroctonus ponderosae (mountain pine beetle), 288 nucleotides. RefSeq lists it as uncharacterized. NCBI's taxonomy places the organism in Eukaryota, Metazoa, Arthropoda, Insecta, Coleoptera, Curculionidae. The record is from RefSeq and is a predicted model, not a curated record. The transcript has 2 exons.